RNAcentral lists this ribosomal RNA (497 nucleotides) under uncultured bacterium. RNAcentral's name for it is "partial 16S ribosomal RNA". It matches the Rfam family "Bacterial small subunit ribosomal RNA", at positions 38 to 507 of the family's 1533-position model. The record is from RNAcentral.
GGGGGGGGGGGGGGGGGGGGCGGGGGGAGGGGGGGCGGGCGGACAGCUGGGGAGGUGGGGCGUGGGAGGUUGGCGGCGGGGGGGUGAGGAACAGGGGGCUGACCCAGCUGUAUGCCGGGGAUGGCUUCGGGAGACCGGAUCUAAUACCCGAUAAUAUAGCUACCCGCCUUGUUGAGUCGUUGCAUUCGGUUUUGCUGACACUUAUAGCCGCAUCCGCUCCCCAUUAGCUCGUUGGUAAGGUUACGGCUUACUAAGGCAACGAUGCGUAGCCGACCUGCGAGGGUGAUCGGCCACACUGGAACUGAGACACGGGCCAGACUCCUACGGGAGGCAGCAGUAGGGAAUCUUCCACAAUGGGCGAAAGCCUGACGGAGCAACGCCGCGUGAGUGAUGAAGGUCUUCGGAUCGUAAAACUCUGUUAUUAGGGAAGAACAAAUGUGUAAGUAACUAUGCACGUCUUGACGGUACCUAAUCAGAAAGCCCCGGCUAACUACGUG